AUUGAACGCUGGCGGCAGGCCUAACACAUGCAAGUCGAACGGUAGCACGAAAAGGUUUGCUUCUUUGCGGACGCGUGGGGCGGGGGGGUGAAAUGUCUAUCAGAAUCCACGAUGGCGGGGGGUAACUCGUGGAAACGGUUACUCAAACAGCACAUAGUCCCAACGGGAAAGAGGAGGGGAUCAUGGCACCUUUCCCGAGUGUAUGAGCAGAUGGGAUUAGCUCGUUGUUGGGGUAACGGCUCACCAAGAGGCCGAUCCCUAGCUGGUCUGAGAGGAUGACCAGCCACACUGGAACUGAGACACGGUCCAGACUCCUACGGGAGGCAGCAGUGGGGAAUAUUGCACAAUGGGCGCAAGCCUGAUGCAGCCAUGCCGCGUGGAUGAAGAAGGCCUUCGGGUUGUAAAGUACUUUUAUUGGGGAAGAAGAGAAGAAGGUUAAUACCUUGGCGCAUUGACGUUACCCAAAGAAUAAGCACCGGCUAACUCCGUG
Molecule: ribosomal RNA, 490 nt
Filed under: uncultured bacterium
Lineage: Bacteria
Description: partial 16S ribosomal RNA
Rfam family: Bacterial small subunit ribosomal RNA
Source: RNAcentral